AGUGAACGCUGGCGGUAGGCCUAACACAUGCAAGUCGAACGGCAGCACAGUAAGAGCUUGCUCUUACGGGUGGCGAGUGGCGGACGGGUGAGGAAUACAUCGGAAUCUACUUUUUCGUGGGGGAUAACGUAGGGAAACUUACGCUAAUACCGCAUACGACCUACGGGUGAAAGCAGGGGAUCUUCGGACCUUGCGCGAUUGAAUGAGCCGAUGUCGGAUUAGCUAGUUGGCGGGGUAAAGGCCCACCAAGGCGACGUUCCGUAGCUGGUCUGAGAGGAUGAUCAGCCACACUGGAACUGAGACACGGUCCAGACUCCUACGGGAGGCAGCAGUGGGGAAUAUUGGACAAUGGGCGCAAGCCUGAUCCAGCCAUACCGCGUGGGUGAAGAAGGCCUUCGGGUUGUAAAGCCCUUUUGUUGGGAAAGAAAAGCAGCAGGUUAAUACCCCGCUGUUCUGACGGUACCCAAAGAAUAAGCACCAGCUAACUUCGUG
RNAcentral lists this ribosomal RNA (492 nucleotides) under uncultured bacterium. Its description in RNAcentral is "partial 16S ribosomal RNA". It matches the Rfam family "Bacterial small subunit ribosomal RNA", at positions 29 to 507 of the family's 1533-position model. The record is from RNAcentral.